Molecule: ribosomal RNA, 497 nt
Filed under: uncultured bacterium
Lineage: Bacteria
Description: partial 16S ribosomal RNA
Rfam family: Bacterial small subunit ribosomal RNA
Source: RNAcentral
GAUGAACGCUGGCGGCGUGCCUAAUACAUGCAAGUCGAGCGAAUGGACGAGAAGCUUGCUUCUCUUCUGUUAGCGGCGGACGGGUGAUUAACACGUGGAUAACCUAUCUAGAAGACUGGGAUAACUUCGCGAAACCGUAUCUAAUACCGGAUAAUAUUUUGAACGGUAUGGUUCUAAAGUCAAAGACGGACUUGCUGUCACUUAUUGAUGGUACCGCGCUGCAUUAGCUGGUUGCUAGGGUAACGGCUUACCAAGGCUACGAUGCAUAGCCGACCGGAGAGGGUGAUCGGCCACACUGGAACUGAGACACGGUCCAGACUCCUACGGGAGGCAGCAGUAGGGAAUCUUCCACAAUGGGCGAAAGCCUGAUGAAGCAACGCCGCGUGAGUGAUGAAGGUCUUCGGAUCGUAAAGCUCUUUUAGUGGGGAAGAAGGUAUGUAUAAUUAUCUCUGCCCAUCUUGACGUUACCUACUCAGAAAGCCACGGCUAACUUCGUG